RNAcentral lists this ribosomal RNA (253 nucleotides) under uncultured bacterium. RNAcentral's name for it is "partial 16S ribosomal RNA". It matches the Rfam family "Bacterial small subunit ribosomal RNA", at positions 524 to 776 of the family's 1533-position model. The record is from RNAcentral.
UACGUAGGGUGCGAGCGUUGUCCGGAAUUAUUGGGCGUAAAGGGCUCGUAGGCGGUUUGUCGCGUCGGGAGUGAAAUCCACUGGCUUAACUGGUGGCUUGCUUUCGAUACGGGCAGACUGGAGGUAUGCAGGGGAGAACGGAAUUCCUGGUGUAGCGGUGAAAUACGCAGAUAUCAGGAGGAACACCGGUGGCGAAGACGGUUCUCUGGGCAUGUCCUGACGCUGAGGAGCGAAAGUGUGGGGAGCGAACAGG